UACGGGGGGGGCAAGCGUUGUUCGGAAUUACUGGGCGUAAAGGGCGCGUAGGCGGCCUUCUAAGUCAGACGUGAAAUCCCUCAGAUUAACUGGGGAACUGCGUCUGAUACUGGAUGGCUUGGAUUCGGAAGAGGAAUGCGGAAUUCCAGGUGUAGCGGUGAAAUGCGUAGAUAUCUGGAGGAACACCGGUGGCGAAGGCGGCAUUCUGGACCGACAUUGACGCUGAGGAGCGAAAGCCAGGGGAGCAAACGGG
Molecule: ribosomal RNA, 253 nt
Filed under: uncultured bacterium
Lineage: Bacteria
Description: partial 16S ribosomal RNA
Rfam family: Bacterial small subunit ribosomal RNA
Source: RNAcentral